Non-coding RNA from Potamilus streckersoni, 77 nucleotides. The record is from the annotation of a GenBank genome assembly. NCBI's taxonomy places the organism in Eukaryota, Metazoa, Mollusca, Bivalvia, Unionida, Unionidae.
AACUACUCCAGUGGCCUUGUGGUUAGGGUGUCCACCUUAGAUGCGGUAGGUCUUGGGUUGGAACCCCAGCUGAGUCA